UACGUAGGGUCCGAGCGUUGUCCGGAAUUAUUGGGCGUAAAGGGCUCGUAGGCGGUCUGUCGCGUCGGGAGUGAAAACUCAGGGCUUAACCCUGAGCCUGCUUCCGAUACGGGCAGACUAGAGGUAUGCAGGGGAGAACGGAAUUCCUGGUGUAGCGGUGAAAUGCGCAGAUAUCAGGAGGAACACCGGUGGCGAAGGCGGUUCUCUGGGCAUUACCUGACGCUGAGGAGCGAAAGUGUGGGGAGCGAACAGG
RNAcentral lists this ribosomal RNA (253 nucleotides) under uncultured bacterium. Its description in RNAcentral is "partial 16S ribosomal RNA". It matches the Rfam family "Bacterial small subunit ribosomal RNA", at positions 524 to 776 of the family's 1533-position model. The record is from RNAcentral.